Molecule: ribosomal RNA, 1343 nt
Filed under: uncultured bacterium
Lineage: Bacteria
Description: 16S ribosomal RNA
Rfam family: Bacterial small subunit ribosomal RNA
Source: RNAcentral
GACGAACGUUGGCGGCGUGCUUAACACAUGCAAGUCGAACGGAAAGGCCCUGCUUUUGUGGGGUGCUCGAGUGGCGAACGGGUGAGUAACACGUGAGUAACCUGCCCUUGACUUUGGGAUAACUUCAGGAAACUGGGGCUAAUACCGGAUAGGAGCUCCUGCUGCAUGGUGGGGGUUGGAAAGUUUCGGCGGUUGGGGAUGGACUCGCGGCUUAUCAGCUUGUUGGUGGGGUAGUGGCUUACCAAGGCUUUGACGGGUAGCCGGCCUGAGGGGGUGACCGGCCACAUUGGGACUGAGAUACGGCCCAGACUCCUACGGGAGGCAGCAGUGGGGAAUAUUGCACAAUGGGCGGAAGCCUGAUGCAGCAACGCCGCGUGCGGGAUGACGGCCUUCGGGUUGUAAACCGCUUUCGCCUGUGACGAAGCGUGAGUGACGGUAAUGGGUAAAGAAGCACCGGCUAACUACGUGCCAGCAGCCGCGGUGAUACGUAGGGUGCGAGCGUUGUCCGGAUUUAUUGGGCGUAAAGGGCUCGUAGGUGGUUGAUCGCGUCGGAAGUGUAAUCUUGGGGCUUAACCCUGAGCGUGCUUUCGAUACGGGUUGACUUGAGGAAGGUAGGGGAGAAUGGAAUUCCUGGUGGAGCGGUGGAAUGCGCAGAUAUCAGGAGGAACACCAGUGGCGAAGGCGGUUCUCUGGGCCUUUCCUGACGCUGAGGAGCGAAAGCGUGGGGAGCGAACAGGCUUAGAUACCCUGGUAGACCACGCUGUAAACGGUGGGUACUAGGUGUGGGGUCCAUUCCACGGGUUCCGUGCCGUAGCUAACGCUUUAAGUACCCCGCCUGGGGAGUACGGCCGCAAGGCUAAAACUCAAAGGAAUUGACGGGGCCCCGCACAAGCGGCGGAGCAUGCGGAUUAAUUCGAUGCAACGCGUAGAACCUUACCUGGGUUUGACAUGGAUCGGGAGUGCUCAGAGAUGGGUGUGCCUCUUUUGGGGUCGGUUCACAGGUGGUGCAUGGCUGUCGUCAGCUCGUGUCGUGAGAUGUUGGGUUAAGUCCCGCAACGAGCGCAACCCUUGUUCACUGUUGCCAGCACGUUAUGGUGGGGACUCAGUGGAGACCGCCGGGGUCAACUCGGAGGAAGGUGGGGAUGACGUCAAGUCAUCAUGCCCCUUAUGUCCAGGGCUUCACGCAUGCUACAAUGGCUGGUACAGAGAGUGGCGAGCCUGUGAGGGUGAGCGAAUCUCGGAAAGCCGGUCUCAGUUCGGAUUGGGGUCUGCAACUCGACCUCAUGAAGUCGGAGUCGCUAGUAAUCGCAGAUCAGCAACGCUGCGGUGAAUACGUUCCCGGG